This 450-nucleotide ribosomal RNA is filed under the name uncultured bacterium. RNAcentral's name for it is "partial 16S ribosomal RNA". It matches the Rfam family "Bacterial small subunit ribosomal RNA", at positions 354 to 796 of the family's 1533-position model. The record is from RNAcentral.
GUGGGGAAUUUUGGACAAUGGGGGCAACCCUGAUCCAGCAAUGCCGCGUGCAGGAAGAAGGCCUUCGGGUUGUAAACUGCUUUUGUACGGAACGAAACGGUCUGGGUUAAUACCCUGGGCUAAUGACGGUACCGUAAGAAUAAGCACCGGCUAACUACGUGCCAGCAGCCGCGGUAAUACGUAGGGUGCGAGCGUUAAUCGGAAUUACUGGGCGUAAAGCGUGCGCAGGCGGUUUGGUAAGACAGGCGUGAAAUCCCCGGGCUCAACCGGGGAAUGGCGCUUGUGACUGCAAAGCUGGAGUGCGGCAGAGGGGGAUGGAAUUCCGCGUGUAGCAGUGAAAUGCGUAGAUAUGCGGAGGAACACCGAUGGCGAAGGCAAUCCCCUGGGCCUGCACUGACGCUCAUGCACGAAAGCGUGGGGAGCAAACAGGAUUAGAAACCCCUGUAGUCC